UGGGGAAUAUUGGACAAUGGGCGAAAGCCUGAUCCAGCCAUGCCGCGUGUGUGAAGAAGGUCUUCGGAUUGUAAAGCACUUUAAGUUGGGAGGAAGGGCAGUAAGCGAAUACCUUGCUGUUUUGACGUUACCGACAGAAUAAGCACCGGCUAACUCUGUGCCAGCAGCCGCGGUAAUACAGAGGGUGCAAGCGUUAAUCGGAAUUACUGGGCGUAAAGCGCGCGUAGGUGGUUCGUUAAGUUGAAUGUGAAAGCCCCGGGCUCAACCUGGGAACUGCAUCCAAAACUGGCGAGCUAGAGUAGGGCAGAGGGUGGUGGAAUUUCCUGUGUAGCGGUGAAAUGCGUAGAAAUAGGAAGGAACACCAGUGGCGAAGGCGACCACCUGGGCUCAUACUGACACUGAGGUGCGAAAGCGUGGGGAGCAAACAGG
This 429-nucleotide ribosomal RNA is filed under the name Pseudomonadota bacterium. RNAcentral describes it as "Proteobacteria bacterium partial 16S ribosomal RNA". It matches the Rfam family "Bacterial small subunit ribosomal RNA", at positions 355 to 776 of the family's 1533-position model. Lineage: Bacteria; Pseudomonadati; Pseudomonadota. The record is from RNAcentral.